This 542-nucleotide ribosomal RNA is filed under the name Calopadia sp. 2307. RNAcentral describes it as "LSU rRNA". It matches the Rfam family "Eukaryotic large subunit ribosomal RNA", at positions 99 to 656 of the family's 3401-position model. Lineage: Eukaryota; Fungi; Ascomycota; Lecanoromycetes; Lecanorales; Ectolechiaceae. The record is from RNAcentral.
CGGCAACAGCUCAAAUUUGAAAUCUGGCUCCUUCGGGGUCCGAGUUGUAAUUUGCAGAGGGUGUUUCGGGCGCGGCGCCGGUCCAAGUCCCCUGGAACGGGGCGUCGCAGAGGGUGAGAAUCCCGUCCGCGGCCGGCGACCAAGCCCAUGUGAAAGCCCUUCGACGAGUCGAGUUGUUUGGGAAUGCAGCUCCAAAUGGGUGGUAAAUUCCAUCUAAAGCUAAAUACCGGCCAGAGACCGAUAGCGCACAAGUAGAGUGAUCGAAAGAUGAAAAGCACUUUGGAAAGAGAGUCAAAAAGUACGUGAAAUUGUUGAAAGGGAAGCGCUUGCGACCAGACCUGACCGGGGGCGAUCAGCGGCCGUUCUCGGCCGUGCACUCGUCCCCGACCAGGCCAGCAUCGGUUCGGGCGGUCGGAUAAAGGCCGCGGGAAUGUAGCUCCCCCCGGGGAGUCUUAUAGCCCGCGGUGCCAUGCGGCCAGCCCGGACCGAGGACCGCGCUUCGGCUAGGAUGCUGGCGUAAUGGUCGUCAGCGACCCGUCUUG